This 484-nucleotide ribosomal RNA is filed under the name uncultured bacterium. RNAcentral describes it as "partial 16S ribosomal RNA". It matches the Rfam family "Bacterial small subunit ribosomal RNA", at positions 30 to 507 of the family's 1533-position model. The record is from RNAcentral.
AUUGAACGCUGGCGGCAGGCCUAACACAUGCAAGUCGAGCGGAUGAAGGGUGCUUGCUCCUGGUUUCAGCGGCGGACGGGUGAGUAAUGCCUAGGAAUCUCCCUGGUUGUGUGGGAUAACGUCCGGAAACGGGCGCUAAUACCGCAUACGUCCUGAGGGAGAAAGUGGGGGAUCUUCGGACCUCACGCUAUCAGAUGAGCCUAGGUCGGAUUAGCUAGUUGGUGGGGUAAAGGCCUACCAAGGCGACGAUCCGUAACUGGUCUGAGAGGAUGAUCAGUCACACUGGAACUGAGACACGGUCCAGACUCCUACGGGAGGCAGCAGUGGGGAAUAUUGGACAAUGGGCGAAAGCCUGAUCCAGCCAUGCCGCGUGUGUGAAGAAGGUCUUCGGAUUGUAAAGCACUUUAAGUUGGGAGGAAGGGCAGUAGGUUAAUACCUUGCUGUUUUGACGGUACCAACAGAAUAAGCACCGGCUAACUUCGUG